RNAcentral lists this ribosomal RNA (383 nucleotides) under uncultured eukaryote. Its description in RNAcentral is "partial 18S ribosomal RNA". It matches the Rfam family "Eukaryotic small subunit ribosomal RNA", at positions 592 to 976 of the family's 1831-position model. The record is from RNAcentral.
CAAUAGCGUAUAUUAAAGUUGUUGCAGUUAAAAAGCUCGUAGUUGGAUUUCUGGUAGGAGUGACCGUUCCGAACUUGAUUGUUCGUGUAUUGUGUUUUCUCCAGCCAUCCUUGUGGAGAACUUUUCUUGCAUUAAUUUGUAGGGAUUGGGACCCGCAUCGUUUACUGUGAAAAAAUUAGAGUGUUUAAAGCAGGCAAUCGCUUGAAUACAUUAGCAUGGAAUAAUAAGAUAGGACUUUGGUACUAUUUCGUUGGUUUGCAUACCAAAUUAAUGAUCAACAGGAACAGUUUGAGGAUAUUCGUAUGAACAUGUCAGAGGUGAAAUUCUUGGAUUUUGAUCAGACGAACUACUGCGAAAGCAUUUAUCAAGGAUGUCUUCAUUAA